UACGUAGGUGGCAAGCGUUGUCCGGAUUUAUUGGGUUUAAAGGGUGCGUAGGCGGCUUUGUAAGUCAGUGGUGAAAUAUGGCAGCUUAACUGUCAAGGUGCCAUUGAUACUGCGGAGCUUGAGUACAGAUGAGGUAGGCGGAAUUGACGGUGUAGCGGUGAAAUGCUUAGAUAUCGUCAAGAACACCGAUAGCGAAGGCAGCUUACUGGGCUGUAACUGACGCUGAGGCACGAAAGUGUGGGGAUCAAACAGG
Molecule: ribosomal RNA, 253 nt
Filed under: uncultured bacterium
Lineage: Bacteria
Description: partial 16S ribosomal RNA
Rfam family: Bacterial small subunit ribosomal RNA
Source: RNAcentral